Acanthaster planci (crown-of-thorns starfish) is the source of this 73-nucleotide non-coding RNA. Lineage: Eukaryota; Metazoa; Echinodermata; Asteroidea; Valvatida; Acanthasteridae. The record is from the annotation of a RefSeq genome assembly.
GAUUUCGUGGUGUAGUGGUCAUUACGUUCGCUUUACACGCGAAAGGUCCUCGGUUCGAUCCCGGGCGAGAAUU